This 406-nucleotide ribosomal RNA is filed under the name uncultured bacterium. Its description in RNAcentral is "partial 16S ribosomal RNA". It matches the Rfam family "Bacterial small subunit ribosomal RNA", at positions 29 to 526 of the family's 1533-position model. The record is from RNAcentral.
AUUGAACGCUGGCGGCAGGCCUAACACAUGCAAGUCGAGCGAGCGGCGGACGGGUGAGUAAGGUCUGGGAAACUGCCGGAUGGAGGGGGAUAACUACUGGAAAAGGUAGCUAAUACCGCAUAACAUCAGAUGUGCCCAGAUGGGAUUAGCUAGUUGGUGGGGUAACGGCUCACCUAGGGGACGAUCCCUAGCUGGUCUGAGAGGAUGACCAGCCACACUGGAACGGAGACACGGGCCAGACUCCGACGGGAGGCAGCCGUGGGGAAUAUUGCACAAUGGGCGCAAGCCUGAUGCAGCCAUGCCGAGUGUGUGAAGAAGGCCUUCGGGUUGUAAAGCACUUUCAGCGGGGAGGCGUUACCCGCAGAAGAAGCACCGGCUAACUCCGUGCCAGCAGCCGCGGUAAUUC